GUACACGCUGUGACUAGCAUAUCAAUAAGCGGAGGAAAAGGCGCAGUACCUACGCUUAGGAUGUUGACGAGACUGUCGAUCUCAUCUAUACAUGACUCUGUGCAUAUCAAUAAGCGGAGGAAAAGAGGGCUAUUACCUACGCUUAGGAUGUUGACGAGACUGUCGAUCUCAUCUAUACAUGACUCUGUGCAUAUCAAUAAGCGGAGGAAAAGAAACUAACAAGGAUUCCCCUAGUAACGGCGAGUGAAGCGGGGAAGAGCUCAAAUUUGAAAUCUUAAAGGGUUUCCCUUUACGAAUUGUAGUUUAAAGAAGUGUUUUCUGUUGAGGUUUUGGUAAAAGUUCUUUGGAAUAGGACAUCAUAGAGGGUGAGAAUCCCGUAUUUGACCUUUACUUUCAACUCUGUGAUACACUUUCAAAGAGUCGGAUUGUUUGGGAAUGCAGUCCAAAAUGGGUGGUAAAUUUCAUCUAAAGCUAAAUAUUGGCGAGAGACCGAUAGCGAACAAGUACCGUGAGGGAAAGAUGAAAAGAACUUUGAAAAGAGAGUUAAACAGUACGUGAAAUUGUCAAAAGGGAAGCGUUUGACACCAGUGUUGUUUUUCUGAAAAUCAAUUAAAGAACUGUUUAUGCUAAGCUGUUUAGACUUUAUCAGCUAUCUGUUUAGUUUUGAGCUUUUCUUUAAUGCACUUUUCAGUUAACAAGUCAACAUCAAUUUCUUUUGCUGUAAAAAAGCUUGAGGAAGGUGGCUUGAGAUUCGUCUUAAGUGUCUAUAGCCUCUUGCCUAUGCAGUCGGAGAGAUUGAGGUCUGCAGCGUAGAUCCUUCGGGGCUAAAUGCAUUUGUGCUAAGUUAUAGCAUUUCAUAGACAACUUGUUGACUAUGAUUUGUCUUGUAGCUUACUCGCUUAUGUUAUUUUACCUACGCUUAGGAUGUUGACGAGACUGUCGAUCUC
RNAcentral lists this ribosomal RNA (947 nucleotides) under uncultured Neocallimastigales. Its description in RNAcentral is "partial large subunit ribosomal RNA". The stretch from base 164 to 947 matches the Rfam family "Eukaryotic large subunit ribosomal RNA", at positions 1 to 646 of the family's 3401-position model. The record is from RNAcentral. Lineage: Eukaryota; Fungi; Neocallimastigomycota; Neocallimastigomycetes; Neocallimastigales.